CUAAAAGCAUUAGCUUUCAGUCUUCACUCCAAAUCCCCUUGAACAAAGAGGCUCCAUCUGGGAGGCCAAACCAGCAGGGUGGGGCCAAGGGAGUGUGGCUGCUUGCUGAGAGACAGACAGACAGACAGACAGACAGGCGGGCCCUCAGCCACACGAGAGUGUGUUGCCAAACUCCGUGGGUGAUUCAGGCGCCAGAGCUAGGUGCCUCCGUGUCCUCUUCAAUGGCUUGGCGCAAGGGUCAGAGGUGAAGCUCGGGUGCCUGCGACAGUGAGCUCUUCGUGGUUUUCACAUACCGUUGAUGUCCUGGCUCCUGGCGGGUGGCCCUGGAAGGUCCCUGUGUGCCCAGGGAUGGCCCACGGAACAAUGCCCACACCGCCGCUGCCCCGUGUCUCUGCAGCACCAGACAGGUCUGCGAUUGGGAAGGGGCUCGGUGUUCAGGGGCCAGUGACCUUUGUCCUGGUACCUGUGUGUCCAGGAAAGUAAACUGAGGCUGCCUGAGCCCCCCAAAAGCCUCACCCUGACCCUUCCACCUGCUUGGGACCCCGCUUGGGGGGCCUCCCGGGACAACGGGGGGAGGGGGGUGAGAGGAAAUAAAUGCCUGCCACCGCCUGUCUCGUGA
Suricata suricatta (meerkat) is the source of this 619-nucleotide long non-coding RNA. RefSeq lists it as uncharacterized. The record is from RefSeq and is a predicted model, not a curated record. The transcript is spliced from 2 exons. NCBI's taxonomy places the organism in Eukaryota, Metazoa, Chordata, Mammalia, Carnivora, Herpestidae.